RNAcentral lists this ribosomal RNA (2923 nucleotides) under Staphylococcus argenteus. RNAcentral describes it as "bacterial LSU rRNA". It matches the Rfam family "Bacterial large subunit ribosomal RNA". The record is from RNAcentral. Lineage: Bacteria; Bacillati; Bacillota; Bacilli; Caryophanales; Staphylococcaceae.
GAUUAAGUUAUUAAGGGCGCACGGUGGAUGCCUUGGCACUAGAAGCCGAUGAAGGACGUUACUAACGACGAUAUGCUUUGGGGAGCUGUAAGUAAGCUUUGAUCCAGAGAUUUCCGAAUGGGGAAACCCAACAUGAGUUAUGUCAUGUUAUCGAUAUGUGAAUACAUAGCAUAUCAGAAGGCACACCCGGAGAACUGAAACAUCUUAGUACCCGGAGGAAGAGAAAGAAAAUUCGAUUCCCUUAGUAGCGGCGAGCGAAACGGGAAGAGCCCAAACCAACAAGCUUGCUUGUUGGGGUUGUAGGACACUCUAUACGGAGUUACAAAGGACGACAUUAGACGAAUCAUCUGGAAAGAUGAAUCAAAGAAGGUAAUAAUCCUGUAGUCGAAAAUGUUGUCUCUCUUGAGUGGAUCCUGAGUACGACGGAGCACGUGAAAUUCCGUCGGAAUCUGGGAGGACCAUCUCCUAAGGCUAAAUACUCUCUAGUGACCGAUAGUGAACCAGUACCGUGAGGGAAAGGUGAAAAGCACCCCGGAAGGGGAGUGAAAUAGAACCUGAAACCGUGUGCUUACAAGUAGUCAGAGCCCGUUAAUGGGUGAUGGCGUGCCUUUUGUAGAAUGAACCGGCGAGUUACGAUUUGAUGCAAGGUUAAGCAGUAAAUGUGGAGCCGUAGCGAAAGCGAGUCUGAAUAGGGCGUUUAGUAUUUGGUCGUAGACCCGAAACCAGGUGAUCUACCCUUGGUCAGGUUGAAGUUCAGGUAACACUGAAUGGAGGACCGAACCGACUUACGUUGAAAAGUGAGCGGAUGAACUGAGGGUAGCGGAGAAAUUCCAAUCGAACCUGGAGAUAGCUGGUUCUCUCCGAAAUAGCUUUAGGGCUAGCCUCAAGUGAUGAUUAUUGGAGGUAGAGCACUGUUUGGACGAGGGGCCCCUCUCGGGUUACCGAAUUCAGACAAACUCCGAAUGCCAAUUAAUUUAACUUGGGAGUCAGAACAUGGGUGAUAAGGUCCGUGUUCGAAAGGGAAACAGCCCAGACCACCAGCUAAGGUCCCAAAAUAUAUGUUAAGUGGAAAAGGAUGUGGCGUUGCCCAGACAACUAGGAUGUUGGCUUAGAAGCAGCCAUCAUUUAAAGAGUGCGUAAUAGCUCACUAGUCGAGUGACACUGCGCCGAAAAUGUACCGGGGCUAAACAUAUUACCGAAGCUGUGGAUUGUCCUUUGGACAAUGGUAGGAGAGCGUUCUAAGGGCGUUGAAGCAUGAUCGCAAGGACAUGUGGAGCGCUUAGAAGUGAGAAUGCCGGUGUGAGUAGCGAAAGACGGGUGAGAAUCCCGUCCACCGAUUGACUAAGGUUUCCAGAGGAAGGCUCGUCCGCUCUGGGUUAGUCGGGUCCUAAGCUGAGGCCGACAGGCGUAGGCGAUGGAUAACAGGUUGAUAUUCCUGUACCACCUAUAAUCGUUUUAAUCGAUGGGGGGACGCAGUAGGAUAGGCGAAGCGUGCGAUUGGAUUGCACGUCUAAGCAGUAAGGCUGAGUAUUAGGCAAAUCCGGUACUCAUUAAGGCUGAGCUGUGAUGGGGAGAAGACAUUGUGUCUUCGAGUCGUUGAUUUCACACUGCCGAGAAAAGCCUCUAGAUAGAAAAUAGGUGCCCGUACCGCAAACCGACACAGGUAGUCAAGAUGAGAAUUCUAAGGUGAGCGAGCGAACUCUCGUUAAGGAACUCGGCAAAAUGACCCCGUAACUUCGGGAGAAGGGGUGCUCUUUAGGGUUAACGCCCAGAAGAGCCGCAGUGAAUAGGCCCAAGCGACUGUUUAUCAAAAACACAGGUCUCUGCUAAACCGUAAGGUGAUGUAUAGGGGCUGACGCCUGCCCGGUGCUGGAAGGUUAAGAGGAGUGGUUAGCUUCUGCGAAGCUACGAAUCGAAGCCCCAGUAAACGGCGGCCGUAACUAUAACGGUCCUAAGGUAGCGAAAUUCCUUGUCGGGUAAGUUCCGACCCGCACGAAAGGCGUAACGAUUUGGGCACUGUCUCAACGAGAGACUCGGUGAAAUCAUAGUACCUGUGAAGAUGCAGGUUACCCGCGACAGGACGGAAAGACCCCGUGGAGCUUUACUGUAGCCUGAUAUUGAAAUUCGGCACAGCUUGUACAGGAUAGGUAGGAGCCUUUGAAACGUGAGCGCUAGCUUACGUGGAGGCGCUGGUGGGAUACUACCCUAGCUGUGUUGGCUUUCUAACCCGCACCACUUAUCGUGGUGGGAGACAGUGUCAGGCGGGCAGUUUGACUGGGGCGGUCGCCUCCUAAAAGGUAACGGAGGCGCUCAAAGGUUCCCUCAGAAUGGUUGGAAAUCAUUCAUAGAGUGUAAAGGCAUAAGGGAGCUUGACUGCGAGACCUACAAGUCGAGCAGGGUCGAAAGACGGACUUAGUGAUCCGGUGGUUCCGCAUGGAAGGGCCAUCGCUCAACGGAUAAAAGCUACCCCGGGGAUAACAGGCUUAUCUCCCCCAAGAGUUCACAUCGACGGGGAGGUUUGGCACCUCGAUGUCGGCUCAUCGCAUCCUGGGGCUGUAGUCGGUCCCAAGGGUUGGGCUGUUCGCCCAUUAAAGCGGUACGCGAGCUGGGUUCAGAACGUCGUGAGACAGUUCGGUCCCUAUCCGUCGUGGGCGUAGGAAAUUUGAGAGGAGCUGUCCUUAGUACGAGAGGACCGGGAUGGACAUACCUCUGGUGUACCAGUUGUCGUGCCAACGGCAUAGCUGGGUAGCUAUGUGUGGACGGGAUAAGUGCUGAAAGCAUCUAAGCAUGAAGCCCCCCUCAAGAUGAGAUUUCCCAACUUCGGUUAUAAGAUCCCUCAAAGAUGAUGAGGUUAAUAGGUUCGAGGUGGAAGCAUGGUGACAUGUGGAGCUGACGAAUACUAAUCGAUCGAAGACUUAAUCAA